Tympanuchus pallidicinctus (lesser prairie-chicken) is the source of this 16457-nucleotide long non-coding RNA. RefSeq lists it as uncharacterized. The record is from RefSeq and is a predicted model, not a curated record. The transcript has 17 exons. NCBI's taxonomy places the organism in Eukaryota, Metazoa, Chordata, Aves, Galliformes, Phasianidae.
CCACAUGUAGUCACUGCUCUGAAGAGCUUUCAAAUCAUUGAGGCAGGCAUAACUUCAGAGAAUGGAUACUGCAGCAGCAGAUUUUUUUUCUAAAGUGCAGCUGCUGAACCAUGACAUUCAGGAAUGAUUCUUUUUUAGAGAAGUCAAAAUUAUGUGCUCUUUGGGGUUGAAUGUACCAAAGAAUUCAGUAACCUUUUAAACAUUUCAGUCAGUCACUGGGUUUGGGGUGUUCUGUGUAUUCAGUUUUUCCUAUCUGGUUUCUAAAACCGUCGGCUCAGUAGACUUGGCAUCUUGACUUCACCUGGGAACACUGCAGGAUCUCACUGUUUGACUUGCCUGUAUGCUUAACCCUGCAGAGACGUGCUUGUCAGAGAUCAGAACAGUGCUGCACAGUGCUAAGGACAUUUCAGCUCUUCACACUGCCCUGCCAAUGAGGAGACUGGGGAUGCACAAGGAGAUGGGAGAGGACAGACCCAGGAGAGCUGACCCAGACUGGCUGAAGAGAUUUUCCUUCCUAUGUGGCAUCAUGUGAAGUUAUAAAUUCGGGGGACUUGGCCAGGCAGGGGAGCAGCCAUGGCUUGGGGAUGAGCUAGUGGGUGGUGAGCAAUUGCAUUGUGCAUCACUGAUUUUGUAAGUGUAUAUAUAGACACACAUACAGUUAUCACUACUAUUGUGUUUGGUUGUUGUUUUUUUUUUUCCCCUUUCCUUCUCUGUUUUAGUAGAUAGUUUUUAUCUCAACCCAUGGGUUUUAGCUUUUUUUCCAAUUCUUUCCCCCAUCUCACUAGUAUGGGGGAGUGAGCAAAAUGGCUGUGGUGCUGAGCUGCUUCUGGGUUAAACUACAUCUCUGUGAACAGCUGCUCUCCACCAGUCCCACUACAGUGGUUAUUGCUCUUGUGCCUGGAACAACCCAAUCCCACACAGUGUCUCCAUUCAGCUGAACCUCAUUUCUGGUAGAAAAUUGGGAAUCUUCAGAAACCAUAUACUCUCAUCCUGAAACUUGGAAUAGAAGUGUAUUUAAAUGGAAGCGUUUGUUCUUUUAAAACAAACACUGCAGAACAAAUCCAUUCUUUUCCCAUCCCAUCGCUUCUGUGGCUCACAGCUGCCUCCUGGUGUGCUCUUCUUCUUGAUUAGUAACAGAGAAGUCAGUGUAACAUAGAGGGUGCAGAUAAGUGAGUGCUAAGGAGCUGCUCUACACUGACAUCCCAGAAGGGCAGAACAAGGUUGCAGUGGGCACAGCUGUGAGGUGGCAGUGCAAGGCUGUCCCUGCUUUACCCAUGGCCCACUCCCCCUGCAGUGCUGGCAGUUUGAUGCACUAGCAUUUGCUGGCUGACAGGUCAUUUUUCACUUGGAAACAUACAGAGCAGCAUACGUGACAAAAUCUACAUCUAGAAACUGGCCAGUGUAACAUUUAUCUUUUGCCCCAAUUCGUAACUGAUUCUGACACUGCAAGUGAAGGAGUUCAUAUUAGUGAUCAGGGCAAUUGUAAAAGCUAUAUUGAUUUUUUCUAACCUGCCUGAUUUCAAAUGUGUUAUGCUAUUUUUUAUUGCUUCCUGGUUAGCUAAUGCUUCUUGGUAUUACUUUGCAACAUCCCUGCUUGCCUUGUACUGCUGUAGCACAGUGCAAUUUCCUCCUCUGCCCUCACAGGUAACAGCAAAUGGACAGCAGGCACCAGAUGCAAGACGUGCAGUUGUGCACAGCCUGCACACCUGCUCUAGCUGGUCCUAUUUGAGCAGGAUUUUGGACCAGAUGGACUCAGAAGUCUCUGGACAGCCGUGCCUCUCGUGGUGCAGGCUGACCUCAGCCCUGAAACAGUACAGCCCUUUGGGUGGCAUUAAUGCAAAAGCUGCAUUUUGUUCUGUGGCAAAAUAUGCACAGUAAAUCAUCAUCUCACCGUCCUCCAUCCCCAGUAUGGCAGAGUGGAAUGAAGGAGAGCACCAGGAUUUGGAGGAAUAGCUCUCAUAACAGAGAACAUCUCUUUAACCCUUCUGCGGUCUGCGCACAGGAUUUUGUUUAUUUCUUGUGUCACUACUGGAAUAACAGGCAGAGGAAGAUACGUUCUCCAUCUGCUAUGUUUCAUUGCUGCAAAGCUGGGAAGGCUUGUUCCUACUGGCAAUUUAUUGGAAAAUAUCUAACACUAGACCAAAAUGCAUGCAACUAUUUUAUACUCCAGGCAGUCUCAUCUGCAGAGUAGAAUCAUGGAAUCAUUAAGACUGGAAAAGACUAGAAAAGAAAUUCUUCCUAAUAUCCAGCAAAGUUAACGUAAAUCUGAAAAAGUGAAAAUACCUGAUUCAGAUGGAUACAUAAUACUGUUGCUAUCUAACAUUUCCCUUGUUGAUUUUCCUGCUGCCUGGUAAAGUUCAUAUGCUUACAAAAAGAGUUCAGUGAUUGACUCAUGAUACUGCUGCCACGGUUUAAUAAAGAACUGAAUUGAACUUUUUCACAAUUACAUUGUAGCAGGAAGCGGCACCAGAGUUGAUUGGUCGAGUGAUGAUCGAAAAUGGUAGUGUUGAAUUUCUCCACUUGGUGGCACUAAGAAAUAACACAACUGCCCUUGUAACGAGGCUGUGAAACGUGGCCAGGUGGUUGGGGAUAACUGAGCACAGUGACCCUGGGAAAGGAAGACAUCAAGGAGUGAUCUCAGGCUCGUGUCUGCCUUGGGUAAGAGGGGCAGCGGAGGCUGGAUCACCACUGGAAGAAGAUGCUCCAACAAUGUGAGCAGGAGAAUGGUGUAUGCAGAGCACUGGAACAUCCUCUACAGUGCUCAGACAAUUUUCUUUCUUGGAAACACUCUCAUAAUUGUGUUUGAUCCCUUUGUCUGAGGCAACCGAAUGUACUGAGGGGAAAAAUAUGUGGAAAUCACUGAUGCUGCCAAUUACAAAAGUGAUUAUUGAACUGAAGGUAAGUCUCUUCUGCAAGGGGAAAAAAUAGAGAAAAACUGUGAUGAGCCACAAGAAGGAGCAGUGUCAUAUGUUGUACUAAUACCCAUACAAGUUUUCUUCAUGAAAUUUUCUAGUGUAUUGCCUUUUUUCAUCCUUGAAAUAAUCUUUGAGAUGUAAGAGAGACUAUACGUUUUGUGAUUCCUUCUGAAGGAUACCACAAUAAGAAUGAUCACAUUUCUCUUGAUUACAGUAAAAUGUUUAUCCGCCAUUCUUCUCUUGAUCACAGUAGUAUGUUUAUCUGUCGUUCAUUCCCUAAAUAUCAAUUUUCAGUUAAAAGAAAUCAAAAUUAAAUAAAAACUACUAUGGUGCAUUACAACGUGCCAAUCUGUAGAAGACCCAUGCAAUGAAGAGGUAUGGAGAGUAGAUCCCUCAGAGAAACCAAGAAGGAGCAGUGAAAACAGAUAUACUAUAUUGUGGCAAUUAUGUGUGCUGUUUAGGGGAAAGGCACCUGGAUACCAAGGAUGAAAGAAAAACUUCAAUUGCCAGAUUCAUGGUCACACAAUGAUAACUGUUUCACAGCUGGCUAAAUGCUAUCCUACAGUCUAAUCUAAAGCCUUUUGAAAGUAAUCAGUCUUUUCAUCCAUUUGAACAAACCUUGGAUCAAGCCUUUAACCUGCUCUCUCAGGAGAAAAAGCUGAUAGACUUUUAUAUAUAUAUUAUUGUUAAAAAACAGGGAAACUACUGAAGUGUUCAUUAUAUACAAAAAGGGUGGGCAAACUCUUUUGCACUUUACAUUUACAAAUUGAAAACUGACAGGAAAACCCAGUGGUGAUCUUAGAUAUUUAGCAGAAACUUAAAACUGCCACUGACUAACACCUUUUUUUUUACUGCGAGUAACCACUAUAGAUCAUAGGAAAAGAAAUACAUUUGCCAUAAAUUUAUAGCACCAAUUUGUUGUCAUGAGUGUUAUGCAGUGAGAAAUGAGGUUUGCAUGAAACUGAAAUUUAUAGGCUUUAUAGGGGAAGAAAAAAAGCUCUGUUACUUGUCACCUCGGAUCUAACUUUAGCGCACAGCACAUUUUCAGUGACAGCUUGUAAUGCAGAUCAGAUAAUAUGCUCAAUGUCAUAGAAAUGAUUCAAGGUGUCAAAACAAAGCAUGAUUAUUAAAACAAAUCAGAGUGAGGAAAAAAAAUGUAAUAGAACAAGAAAUGAGCAUACCUACAAAAAGUUAUUUUGGUCUACAUCUUUUCUGAGAGCUACAGUAAAAUGGUAGCACUUAGCACAUAAGUUUCUUUUUCAGUACUGAGCUCUGUUUGUAACAUAGAAAGGUCUUUAAACACACUCAUACCUAAAAACAUUUGGGAUGAAACAGUUUCAGGUAUUUCCUUAUCUGUAUUUUGGACUUUCUUUGAGUUACAUAUAUUCUCCUUUAUAGGAUAGGUCUUUGUGACUGUAUGGGAACUGCUGAGUCACGGCCUGACCCUCUGAUUGAUCACCUGUGGUGAGCAAUGAGUCAGGCACAGGAGCACAGGUGAAGGCAGUUCACCUGUGCUGCUGGAAGGGGUGGAGCCUGGUUCUACCCCUCCUAGACCCAUUUAAGAGCUGACUACCAGUAGGAAAGGAGCUCUUCUGGAGAUCCCUCUUCUGGAGUUUUGUGGUGAAGCCAGGGUACAGGUAAGCUUUCUAUCUAUUCUCUUUUUGUUAUUAUAAUCUGCUUUGCCAAACUCUCUUGCUGUGCUUGCCUGGACAUCAGCCUGUAUUCACCCAAAAAAUCAGCUGGUGUGGAAAAGUAACACCCAGAUUAUUUCUUGCGAUGGAGCCUGGACCGUUGUCAGACUGAGAAAGCAUGAAAUAAGGCUAAGUAUUGACAUCUGAUUAGUUAAGGCAAUUUGUAUCAGUUGAUGUAAUAGCGCUCUUCUUCAAAUUAGUAAAAUCAUACUGAUUUAAGACUAUCUGGGCUGGCCUACAUCUGAAAUUCUUCCAUGUUUUACAUAUUCUGGUGAAAAAAUGAGAUGACCUCAUUCAGGUAGAUGAUCUGUUUCUCAUAUCUAUAUGAAAGAAAUAUCAAAUGUCUACUUAAGUGUGCAAAUGUUACAGUAUAGAAGAAAAAGUAUGCUUGAGCAGUCUGCAGAAUGGUAAUGUUCUCUGCUUCCCUGGAAAUAAAUGCUAUCUGCUAUUCUAAUAUUGAUAUUUUUUUUUUCAUUCUUUGUCAUAUUUAGUCAGGCCCUUCCAAACUAGCUGUCAGCUAUUCUAACAAAGGCUGAAACAGGAACAGAAAAGAGCUCAAUGAAAGAUGUGUCUAUGGAAAAUAUUACAGAUUGUGAACUGGUUAUAUGCCCCCACUAGAAACAAAAAGCAGUACUGAAUGACAAUUAUUACAAAAAGAAAACCAGAUUGUGGGCCAGAUGGUCAGUGAGUAUAGGUAGAAAUAAACUGCAGUAAGUAGAAGGGGCCUGGUCCAUGGCUAUGCCUCUGUGCCACAAGGGAACAUUGUGGCUCAGCAAGAUGGCGUGAAAGACAGUCUUUCCCUUCCAGCUGUUUUUCUCUUUAUAACUAAAGUAGUAACUAUUUCCUGUGCCUGAUAUUCCCCUUUAUAAACACUUAUUAAUUUGAGAAAAAGCCUUUGCCAUUUGAGUAUUAAUAAUGUAUAAAGUUCUUUUUACCUGGUUUUAUACCUGCUCUUCUUGCUCCCUUCAAACUGCCUUGAUUCUACUUUCUGUGUCUGAGCUGCUGUGUUGUAACUCCCUAACCUCUGCCUGUGUUUCUCUCCUCCUUUCAUUUUCAAAUUGCCAUUUAUUUCAUUACUGAUAAGGACUAGAAGCCAAAGUUAAUCUGAAGCAUGCCCCCCUUUAAAUGUCCAGGAGUUCAUUUUGAGCAGAAAUAGUGUCAACAUCUUUCAGCACUUCAUAUUAGAACAUGUGCUCAUGAUUUGAGUUUUGGAAUGAUAGUCUCCUACUGAGAAUAAAAGGACUCCUGAGUGUUAGACAUGCAAGUCCAAUAAUCAGGUUGAGAAAAACCAGGAGCCAGAACACACACACAAUGUCUGCAAAUAUGUAUGCAUUUCCCUGUUCCCAUUAGAAUUUUACUCCCAUUUAAUUUUAAUUGCUGUCUAACCUAGUAGAAUACACAUGCAUAGGUCAUACCCUAUGUUUUCGUAUAUGUUCUUCCUAGGAUCUCAUCUUAUGUUGAAACUCAGUGGUGAAUGCCUACUGAUUAGGAAGAGUUUCCCCCUCUUUUAGGAGGAACAUAACACCGGGAGUUAAUUGAUAUGAAAUUUUGCAGCACAUGCAAGACUUUUGAUAAAUGUCAGCACAGAAGUUAAUUUCAUCUGUUUCAUAAACUUACUGUUUUCUUUCAGUGCUUUUCCCCCCCUUUUAUUGCAGACAGUAUGUUCAUUCUUCUCUUAAAAACCUGUUUUUUUUCCUUUAUUUUCUCAGUUCAUGUUGUGAUUCUGUUCUGUUUUCCCCCUUCUUUCAUUUAUUUCUCUCUCUUUGAGCCUUAGGCCAGCCUUUUUUUUCCCUUUUGAUUUACGUUUCUUUCUCUAAGCGUUUUUCAUUCCGUUCUCUCUUUUUCUCAAUCUCUUUCUUUUUCUCUUUUUUUCUUUUUUAGUAAUUAAACAGAAAAAUAAUUGUUGCCUUCCAAAUUCUAUUUGAGGUUAUUUUCUUGGCACAUUAUAAGUCAGAGUAGCUUUUUUUUUUUGCUUUGCUUUCUACCUUUUUGCCAGCACAAACUGCAAAAUUGCUCAAUGAAAUGAAGCUUAUGAGAUUCCAAAUCUCUGAAGUAAUGUCUAGGGAAAGAAAACAGUAAUUUGUUUUUCCUGAGUUAUCUUAAAUUCACCUGUUUUGAAGUCUCUCAAGGAAAGAAAAUUCUAUACAUGAAAUCUCCAAGUAAAAUUCCUAUUUCACAGUGAGCUCUCCAGAUGGGUUAUCAGCCUGGGAUCAGUUACCAGACACUUUGCUGAUGCAUGAGCUGGGAUGAGUAUGAAUAACAUAACUUAAAUGAAGUGUUAAUAUAACUUAAUAAUUUUUCUUGAUAAAUUUCAUUUCAAUUUCCACUAAUUAUAAAUAGCAGCUUAGACAAUUAAUUGUUCAAAUGAUUGUGAUUAAGUUUACUUUGAAGAAGGCAAGACAGGUUAGAAAACAAAAAUAUCCCAGAGAAAAAGCAGAAAGCAGAUGAAACGUAUGUAUUUCUGAGAUCUCAGCUAGCCUGGGGUUACUCUGGAAAAGGUGGUCCCAUGCAGAAUAGACAAAGGAAGAUUAUUUCAUCCAUCUUCAUCAGAUCUAUGGAGAUUUCCAAAGACAGGUGCUGGUUUUGGUGCAGGAUAUAUCACACAGAAUCUUCUCCCAUGGGAGGAUUUGUACAGAAUGGAGCAGGGCAGGCCAGCAGGAAAACUCCCAUCCCAGCUAUGAUGCAAUUGGUUUGUUGGCCAAGUGACUAGAAAAAUAGCAUCUAGCUAGAUGUCAGAGCCUGCAAGGGCUGUGAGUGCCAUCCCCCGCUGUGGCAAUAGAAAAAAUUCUGCUACUUCAAUGAAACAUCAGUCAGUGCAAGGUUGGAGGGAGCCUUACAGGCCAAUUGGGAUCACAAGGUAGAAUUUCUUUUCUGCAGUGGAUACUAGUAAUGUGCCAGGCAAACAUCUUUUUUUUCAUGCAACUCAUUCCUAUACUGAUAAUAAGAAUAACAAGAUAAGCUACAGAUUUGGGAACCUGCCUUUUUGCACAUAAAUGCUGGGAUAGUUGAACCUGGGAGCAUCUUUCUUUACACAGGAAAUGAAUAAUAUCUAUUGUCAUUAUUAGCUGUACUAUCCUAGAGACAUAGGUUCCUUACAGCUGGAAGGGACCUUUAAUGGUCAUCUAGUCUAAUUUCCCUGCAAUGAACAGAGAUAUCCACAGCUGGAUCAGGCUGCUUAGAGCCCCAACCAGCCUAGUCGUGAACGUCUCCAGGGAUAGGGUAUCCACCAUAUCUCUGAGCAACCUGUUCUAGUGCCUCACUACCCUCACUGUGAAAGACUUGUUCCUUAUUUCCAACCUAAAUCUGCACUUUUUAAGUUUGAAAACGUUUUCCCUUGUUCUGUCACUAUGGAUCCUCCUGAAGGGUCUGUCCUUUCCUAUGGAUCCCCUUUAGAUACUGAAAAGCCAACUCGACCUUCUCCAGGCUGAACAGCCCCAGCUCUCUCAGCCCUUUCUCACAGAGGACGUGUUCCAUCCCUUGGAUCACUUUUUGUGGUGCUCCUCUGGACACAAUCCAACAGGUCUAUAUCUUUUCCAUGGACUUCACAUCUGGACACAGUAUUCCAGGAGCUGUCCCAGUGAAACAUCUAGUUGAACAUGUGAGUUCCAGCUAAAUACAAGCUUUCCAGUUCAGUGUCACUGGGACUUGGGCCUUUGUAGGUUUGGGACUAGACAGCAAAGCAAUGUGAUUGGAGCAACAGAGACAACUCCAUGUAAGGGAUUGCAAUCUCAUACGAGAAGGCAUUUGCAUGUUUCAUCCAACAAAUAGAUAGAGCCAUAAUAAUUAUUAGCUUAUAAAUGUUAUGGAACUAAUAAUCAUCUCACAUUAAUUUGACAAAGUAUUUUUCAACAAUGGAAAUGGCUGUUUGGCUCCAGAGAACAGAAGUUUGUUAGCAUCCAUAUUAUUCUAUUUGAGGAUGCAGGAAUGCUUUUGAAUAAUUAGGUUUCCAGAAUUUUUAUGUGUGUAUAUACACACACACACAGGUAAAAGUACUGAUUUAAAAAGUCCAACUACCCUACAGUUUCCACAAUCAGCAACAAAUCUUUUGUAACAUUUCAUUGCUUUUCAUACUCCUGUGUCAGACACUGCUGUCGUGUGGAUAUUUUCAUCUCUGCCUUUAAGUGGGAAGAUUUCUGUUUAUACAGACGUAUGAAAUAACUGGAAGUUGAUGAAUUAAAACAUCAUUCACUCAAGAGAAAAUGACCUUCUUCUAAAGACUGAUGGAACAACCACAGCAACUUCAAGAAAUUGUUUACCGUUCUCUGGAUGAUCACAGCUUGAUCUGAUUUUGAUCUUUCCAUAUUUUACACAUAACUUAUUUGUAGCAGACCAAUGGAAAAGCGGAUGUUUAUUUGUGCGAUGUUAAGUCACUGUUCUCUAGUAAUUCCCUCUUUUAAAUGCAUACACAUACUGAGUAAUGUAAAUAACUAUUUUCUAUGAUUAUUUACAAUCAUAAUCAUGAGGGGCCUAUUGGUUUUGCUAUGUUGUUUUGGAAGCAAUUUGAAAUCCUAUUAAAGACCAGGAUCUUUUGGUACCAAAAUACAAAAUCUGUUCUCAAAAGAUAUAAACAGUUUUCAUUCCAGUUCAUACUUAAAAAAAAAAAGCAAUUGUGGAGGCUGCAUGCAUGUGGUCAUCAAAAUAAUUUGUAACAAAAAUAGCCUGUAAUCAAGUAUUUACUGAUUAUUUGUAACUAGUCCCUUAAAGGCUGACAAGCCUACAAUUCUGACAGAUUUAAUACAGAGUUAUGUUCUUCUACCUCCAAAAAUUAUUCUUGUUAUGGAGUAUAAUAGAUAAUGAUCUGUAGAUCCUUAUCCAAAGUUGAUAGACAUCUUUCUCCAUGAACUCUACUACUUAGUACCAAUCAGACUGCAAUUUACUGCAAUGCUUAAGGGAAAAAAAAACAACAACAGUAUCCUCCUCUUUCAGAAAAAUCAGUGAAAAUGGCAGACUCUUCAGCUGUAAGAAAAAGCUACCAAAAAAGGAAAUUUUCUAGACACUUCAAAGUUCUCUCUCUCCCUCCUCCUGCUUUUUUUUUUUCCCUUCCAGUUCCAGUCUUUGCAGAUACUGUGCACUAUUAUUGAAGGAAUCUACAGUAUUCUCACUUUUAAAGAUUUUGCUUGGAACACUCAGAUAUUCAGAUGGCAUCAUACAGAAGACAAAAAGACCGUUUUCAUUAUAGGGCUGCUUCUCUAUCUGCCAGACUGUAUAUCUUGUUUACUGAAGUGUCAUUUUUAAGAAAGUCUUUAGAAUCAUUGAAGAUUCUGAAUUCCUGGCUCCACACAGGACCACCUAAAAUCCAAACCGUGUGUGUGAGAGUGUUGUCCAAACGCUCCUUGAACUUGGUGCCAUGCCCACUGCCUACUGAUGAAGAACCUUUCCUUAAAAUCCAUCCAUGCAUGCCCUGUAGAUAUGUGGGAGCAGGACAAGACUUUCAGGUACCCACGCAGCCCUGUCUUCACCAACCUGAGACUCACAUCUUUCAAAAGUGUGUUUCCAGUGCUCAAGCCUAUGGGGAGCUUUCAGGCAAGAGAUUUUCCUUUGCAGAGUGACUUAACUUUGGGCCCAAAUAGGCUGUCAGAAGACUGGAGUGCUAAAAAAGGCAGAACCUUCAGUAGCCCUCUCUGCCCCUCAGGGAUCUGUGAGACACGGGGCCACAGCUGCCACUCGUCUCCCUUCCAGCAAAAGGACUCGAAUUCACAGAGGAAAAAUUUAAGUUAGUUCUAUCCUGGUACAGAAACAGCCAAAGGCACCAUAGAAGAUGUUCAGAAUUACUCUUUGCAUCAUCUGAUUUCUUUAUACAUGGCUCCUAAGAAAACUUUACAUAUGAACUGAACUUCAAGUCAGAUUUCAGUGGUAAUAUCCACCACCCUUACAUUUGCAAGUUUGAGGCUUUACUAAAAAGGUCUUAAAUGUAGUUCUUCUAAACUGGAAGAAAAUUUGCAUUCUUGCAACUACCAAAAUGAUGCCAGCUCAAUAAAGCUCAUUUGGAUCCUCCAUAUAUAGCAUCAAAUUGCUGAUUCCAAACACUUUCUUCCAGACAAAUGACUUAUUUCCCACAGGGAAAAGAAAAAUGCAGAUAGAAAUUAAAAGAAGUCAUUCAGCAUCUUCAGAUGUAUUUUUACCUUGAAUCUGUUUUCCUCUAGGUUUUUACUUUUAUUCUUCCAAGAAAGAAAUGUCUUUCCAUUUCAACACUUCAGCUAUACAUAUAUCAUAAUAAUUUAGCAUACAUUCCUCUAAUCUUUGAUUAAUGUCUUACCUUUUACUUAAAUACCAAUUAGCAUGAAGUCAUCACAGUAAUUUCAGUUGAAUCCCCAUAUCACUGACAUAUUGUUAAUGAGGACAUGAUUAGCAUCUGAAAUUUUCAAGGGAUGAUUGCUGAACUGUUUGGAUUCUUCCCAUCAAGACAGACUCUCUAGUUCUUUUACAGAUCCUUUUCUUCGAUCUGAGUCUAUAAGAAUCUGCAGACAGGAUUACCUCUUAUGGAAACACAGGUAACAAAAUUUUUUAUCUUCUAAAAUACUGCUUCUGAAACAAAUUUUACUUUCAUUUACAUGAAACCACAUGCAAAUCAUAUACAGUCUAAAAUGUUCUUUUCAACAAAAAUAGUCCUCCAUAUGCUUUAGUUGAUUUUGUUACCUGCUCUAUUAAGUUCCAAGUGCCAGAAUUAAAUGACUGACAGUGCAUUUGUUUGUUGCAAAAACUGUCAAGAUCCACUGAAAAUCUCAAUAGUAUCUAUCUCUGAGCAUGGCAAGAAAAUAACGCUGUCUGUAUUCCCCUACCUCUGUUCUCUUAUAUGUUAAAUAAGAACAAUGCUGACUUGACAGAGCUACAAUUUGAUACUUGAAUUCAUUAGUGUUUGUAAGAUACGGUCCGAAGUCAAGUUUGCUGGAAGCACUGCUACCUUAAGAAAUAUAAUCUCUUCCUGUCUUUGCCAAAAUCUUCCCAGAACUAGGACUGCAGUUUUAACACUAAAAGAAAAUCUGUGCAUGAGGUAUUGUUUCGAGGUAUUGUUUCACUACCUUGUGCCUCGUUAGCAUUUUUUGUCCCUUUCCUUGCAAUCCUGGUGUUCUUGGACAUGUAAGUAUGGACUAACAUAAUCUGCUCAGGAUCUGCAAAAAUGGGGAAGAUGAGCUCACAGAAAGCUGUGUGCUGCUGUGUUACCAUGUCUGCAUGAAGGAGCUCAGAUACUUUUGCUUUGAAUGCAAAUCAGGUCAGUUGUCAAAGCAGUCUCCUGAUACCACUGCCGAGGCUUUGCCAUUCCUGCUUCUUCCUGCUGCGUUGAUUCGUAUCUUUCAGGUACUAGUGGUAGAGGCUCACUGUCUCAGAUAAAGAAAACAUCAUUAUUAUUCACCUCUUGCCCUUUCUCCUAUUGUCAUUGACCCUGUGGGUGUUUAUAAGUGUUAAUGAGGACUGACCUGUAUUUUUGGCAGGGUCCGAUAGUCAAAGCACCAUGAGUGCAGCACCCUGUGCUUUGCCUUGUUUAGCAUAGUUGAUAGUAUUGUGAAUUUACAUGGCUUUGUUACUCUCCUUGCACUGUUUAAUUGAACGAAAAUUACCUGAGGUUCGCUUUAUCCCUUGUACUGUGUAAGCAACCAGUAGACUUGGAUCCUUUUUACUGCUUCUGUUUACUGAACUUGUCUUUCUCCUGUGUUAAUUACUGAGAUGUCCACUUUAAGUACCCCUAACUGUGGUCCUAAAUGUGAAUACUCUUGUAUAUGUUACUUACAUUAAGCAUGUGAAUAGUCCUACUGAAAUCCUAAAAACAGGAACAGCUUAAGUUAUGGAUUAUUAUAAUGCAAUAUUUGAAUUAUUUCCAGGUUACUAGAAUGCUGUUUCAUAGGACUGAGAAUGCCACAACUUAUCAGCUUGCUCAUCUGUACCUCAUACUUCAUUUUACUCAUCUGUAAAUAAGAUAUUCUUCAUCUUAUUUAGUCCCUAUCACAGCAGCAACUAGCAGUGUUAUUAGAGGUUUUAUGCAAUGCAAAUAAAGUAUAGGAGUCUCUAAAUAAGGUCUUAGAUAUUUAUUAGAAUAUUAGCUACUAUAAUAAUUGAAGCACUGGGGUGAAUUUCACAGUAAUUGUAUUAAUUUAAAAACUGAAAUAUUUUCCUUGUUUAUAAGGUUAUGCCUGCCCUGUAUACAAAUUUUACACUGUACUGUACAAACGCAACACCUGAGUGCUGAAAGCAAUCAGUUAAACUGUUAAGUAAGCCACAGGGGUUGAGAGCAGAGGAACAGAGUUUGAAGAGCAAUUACUGAAGAUGAAGAAAAAGGCAAUUUAGAAAGCAAAUUCAAGUAUAGUUCAAGUUUAGUCAAGGAGAAAGAGAGGGAAAAAACUCAGUGUAUUACAAAUCUAGAUUUUUGUUAGUUCCUUCAAAGACCCACACUUCAGUUUGUUUAUUUUUAAAGUCCUCUACAAUUAAUGCAAAGAGAGGUCUGCCAUUCCUGCAUGGAUCAUCUAUCCUUAAAAUCAAUGUCUAAAAUAUUACCCUUUAGUGCUCUUUCUCUCUCCCUCCCUCCAUCAUGAGUAAAGGAAGAUGUCUUAGAAAGAUAGUUUCUACAAAUGGCUUACUUCUGAAUAAAUUUACAUGAAAAAAUUCAGUCAAAAAAGCCCAAGGAAGUUACAGCUUGCUCAGUCGCUUGAAUGAGGAAUGUCCAGGCAGCAAGAUUUUCUUUUUUUGCAGUUUCUAAUACUAGUACAAAAUGUGAAUAUUUUCACAGAAACUGUGGUAUCUUCUUGAUAAUCUAUUUUUGCAUCAGACUGUACUCAGAAAAAUAGUAUAGUCAAUAAGAAAGUGGAGUUCACACUGCACAUUUCCUGGCUUGUAAAUCAUAAAUAAUAGGAGGAGACACUUGUGCUGAUAUCUACUCCAGGAGUUGUGGCUCAGCAGGUUUGUCUCCCAACAGAGUCCUUCAGCAUCCCAUGCUGGGGUCCUGGUAGUAGGGUGCUUCUCUCUGAACCAAAGGCGCCAAAUCUAGCCAGGAGACACCAAGCUCAAGAAUGUCGUGCAAGAGAUGUAUAUUUUCCAACCAGAGAGGUGACUCAUGAACACCAGCACAGGCACUAGCACCACUUUUUUUUUUUUACAAAGUGAAGUGAUGGAGAGGUAUAGAUUUGCUGAGAAUUCAGAAUGGCUUGUCUUCUUGAAGAGCUGCAGUGAUAGACCAAAAAUGCUUGGCUCUGCCUUCGGUCACACAUCUCUUCAGGCCUUAGCUAGCCAUCGUGGGGGUGCCCAAAGUGCAGCAGAUGCCUGCAGGCUUACACGAGUCCAUUUUCACUCAAGGUAGCUCCUGGGACAAGAAGGCAGAGGCUGGGAGGCUCCAGGUCUGCUCUCAAGUAAAUAGGAAAAAAGGAGAUAUGCUGAUUUAAUGUUGAGCUUUCCAUUCAAGAGCAGCUGAGCAUUGAGGGUGGAAGAGAGAACCAGGAGCAGCUUUUUGUGGUUCACAGAUCUUUAUCAAAUCACACAAUGGACCUCUUUAAGAAAAGAAAGAAGAAGUUUGCCUGCAGAAUGAUCAUUAAAACAUCUGAGCUCCUUUAUGUCAAUUAAAAGCUUACUUCUCAACUUACAGGUCACGUCCUAAAUCCUACAAAUGUAUUCACUCAAGAAAGCAGAUUAGAUUGAUAGAAUGAGUAAGAACUUGCAUCACUGGGCACUGAAUUAUUUGACAGUAACAUUUUAAAACUCAAUUCAAGUGAUCUUUCAUUAUAAUACAUGGUUUUGGGAAGUGGAAAGUGUUUUCUAUCCACUGCUUAAUUCUCAUGGAAAAAUUGUUCCAUAUGAAGAGUAAUUUCCUUCCUACUUGGAGUGAAAAAGAGAAAUGAGAGAAAAGCAAUUUAGCUCAUUGAGAAAUCCCAGUUGCCACAGUCUGGGCAUUUUAGGGGGAAAGAUGAACUUUCAUUUCAAUUCUAGAGGUGUGGAAUUAACAGUAUUUUUCUGUAGAAAUCUACAGCUCCUAUAUAAUAAAAAAGUUUGUUUUCUUAUAAAAAUCAGAACCUAUUUCUUAAAAAAAAACUCUGAAAGUCCUUGUCCUCAACCUGAUUCAACCAGUUCAAAGUGUUUUCUCCCUUCCAAACUGCCUCUGUUCAUAGUUCUAUUGACUAAUGCAGUCAUUCAUCUGUUUGAAAAGCAUGGUGCAUUUGACAAUGGAAGACUAUGUUUCUUGAGUUUUUGUUCUGUUGAGUGAUAUUGAUCAUGGCGUUUGAAAGCACAAUGUGCCUUUAUCCCUUUUUAUUCUUUUCUCUCAUAUAUUUUGUUAUUUUUCAUCUUUGAAUAUGUCUGUACAACAUAAUGCAGUGUCUUAGAAGUAUAUUCAACUUUCCUUGGGCACCAAAAGCUGUAUAGAAGCAUUAACAGAGCAAUCUGGAUAAGCUAAUUGGCCCAGCUGAGAAGAUACGUUGGUAGAGCAUCACAGUGUUACAAGAGCAUUUAUUGAUCCAGAGCUAACUUGCAGGAUAUUUCUGAGCAAUACUGCAGCCCUCAUCUGUUUACUUCAGGUCUUGUUUUUUAACAGUGACUGUAUCAGAGGCUUCAAAGAGACAAAACCUCAGCACCUUGAGAAGGAAGAUGAGGGUGAAGAGGCAGAAGGGUUUCAUAGAGAGUACUUUGGUCUGCUUUGGCUGUCAAGUCUACUGCCAAAGUUCGUUUCUGGAAAGUGUUGAUGAAAACUGAAAUUAGCUGCCUUGGAAAGGAUUGUGAAAAUUAAAUCUUUUAAUCUGUAAAGAAUGUUAUAGUUUCAGAAACCAUUCACGUUUUCCAGAAGUCUCCUCUGAAGGAUACUGUUCAACAUACAAAAUACGAGCAUUUUGUUGCUAAUGGUGACUGCAGCAAUUGUGUUCAUCUUGAAGUUAAACAUUCCCAAGAUGCCUGUUCUUUUGUAGCUCUACUUCUUGGCUAGUCCAAGAAGAGAAGGAAACAAGGAAGCCAUUUGUAAUAUCCUGAAGUUCACAGUCCACCAUCAGCAUUUUCAAUUUUGUCCAUUUUUAACCUUGUACAGGAAGGAUCUCUUCCUUGUUAUCCCCCCCAAAACUGUUGGCCAUCACUAGUGACAGCUGCUACAUUUAAGACCACAGUCAUUUUUUUGUAUUAUAUGUCUUUGUGAAUGCCACCUCUCAUGUUCACUCUAUGACCUGGAGUUAUCCAACCUCUGGAAGAAGCUACUGUCUAUGAAAGGUCCUGGUGUUGUUUUGUUUUGUUGUUGCUUUUUGGUUGGUAAUUUUCCAGAAAUCAACUUGAUAAAACACACAUUAAUUUACAUUUAAUGGGUACAAAAACAAAGGCAACAAAAACAUAAGAACUCCUGCGCUUGCUGAACCUUAUGCUGACGUUUUCUUUCCUGACACUUUUAGCAGUGCAUUAUUAUAUUUCUUUUGAAAGCAGCAGGAAGUUUGACUCAUGUACUUUAAGUUAAAUACUCUCUUUCAGCUGUUUAAAAUUUAUUUAGGUUAAAGUAUAUUUUCUUAUGUCUGAUUUCAUUUUAAUUUGUUCUCUGUUAUAUACAAAAAUGUUGCAAACAAUCUGUACAGACUGUAAUCUGGAAGUUCAAAGUCAAAAAUUCACCCCAAAAAACAAUUUCAGUCUUUUUAAAAUGUUCUUGAUCUCUGUAAUGACUGAUAAGAAAUGCACAUGUAGCCAAAAAGUGUCUGUAGACUCAAUCAGAUUCAUAAUACACCUAUACUUCUAUGAAAAGCUACAAAUGAAAAUAAUUUUAUGCUUUUCAUCUGUUUCUGUGGAAUCAGAAGUGAAAUUGAGAAUAAGAAAAUAUUCAAGGUAUUUUACACUUGUUUUUAAGAUCUGUUCCUGUAACAUAAUUGUGCAAAUAAAUAAAAUUAUGGAUGCACAUGUCUGUUAAUAA